GUUUUGUCAUGUCUGUCACUAGGCAACUUCCCCACAUUUUGCCUCAGCAAAUUUAGAGAUGGGAUGUCAAACAAUGUCUUCAUGGGCUAUAAGCUGGAACAAUGUCAGAAAAACUCACAAAGGAAACUGAAGUGCUGCUAAUCAUUCUAUUUUUGGCACUGUGAAGUUGUCACCAUCACAAUGGUCAAUAUUGAAGGAUGGGUGUUGGAUGGUUCAAUAUGCCUCAUCAUCAGACUGCAGUCUCCAUCCACAAUGCGACUGCAUGUUGUGAUCAGAGAGAGGGGUACCAGAAUUUCUUUUGAAACCUUAUGGUGUGGUUUAUUGACAAGGAUGUAGUCCACUAAUUGA
Pelodiscus sinensis (Chinese soft-shelled turtle) is the source of this 348-nucleotide non-coding RNA. The record is from RefSeq and is a predicted model, not a curated record. NCBI's taxonomy places the organism in Eukaryota, Metazoa, Chordata, Testudines, Trionychidae.